This 562-nucleotide ribosomal RNA is filed under the name uncultured bacterium. RNAcentral describes it as "partial 16S ribosomal RNA". It matches the Rfam family "Bacterial small subunit ribosomal RNA", at positions 355 to 940 of the family's 1533-position model. The record is from RNAcentral.
UGGGGAAUAUUGGACAAUGGGGGCAACCCUGAUCCAGCCAUGCCGCGUGAGUGAUGAAGGCCUUCGGGUUGUAAAGCUCUUUUGGCGGGGACGAUGAUGACGGUACCCGCAGAAUAAGCCCCGGCUAACUUCGUGCCAGCAGCCGCGGUAAGACGAAGGGGGCUAGCGUUGUUCGGAAUUACUGGGCGUAAAGCGAGUGUAGGCGGUUGCCGUAGUCAGGUGUGAAAGCCUUGAGCUCAACUCAAGAAAUGCACUUGAUACUGGGUGACUAGAGGACCGGAGAGGAUAGUGGAAUUCCCAGUGUAGUGGUGAAAUACGUAGAGAUUGGGAAGAACACCAGUGGCGAAGGCGGCUAUCUGGACGGUUACUGACGCUAAGACUCGAAAGCGUGGGGAGCAAACAGGAUUAGAUACCCUGGUAGUCCACGCCGUAAACGAUGGGUGCUAGACGUUGGCGAGCUUGCUCGUCAGUGUCGCAGCUAACGCGUUAAGCACCCCGCUGGGGAGUNCGGCCGCAAGGUUGAAACUCAAAGGAAUUGACGGGGGUCAUAGCUGUUUUUCCU